CUGGUGCUAGAAGCCUUGAUGCAGGCGACUGCCAUAAUGAAGCUAUGCUUACGAAUAAUGGUCCUUUCUUUACCCCAUGAAAGGCCGAAUCCGUUUUCAUAACUCGCGAUCGAAUCGUAGCUGUGAAAUUUCUUCAGAAGCAGUAGACAGAUGGCCAACGUGCGAGGAAGAAGCAAGGGGGAGAAAUACUGCUUCUAAGUUUGUUGUCCAGUUGUUGGGGGGCUUUUUUUGGUUCUGGUUUUUAAGAGAGAUAUGUCUGGAGUUGGGCUCAGAUGCGCAGAGGACGAUGCUUCUGAAAUGCUGGCGGUACGCCGGUCGUCGCUAUAUUGGCGGUUCGGUUCUCUCACGGUUGGAUCGAUUGCAAGUUGAAACCGGUUUGCGGACUGAAGGAAGUGACUGGAUGUGACGUCGUCUCGUCAGGGAGACCCAGAAACAGGAAUAACAAUGACAACCUUCCAUCAGUUGGUCUGUACACACCGGAAGAGAGAAGAUACGUAGGAAACAAAUAACAGGUCAACAAUAGUCUAAUGGAAAUACCUCACCUAUAACGUGAUGAGAAUAUAGUUUGAAAAAAAACAACAACAACAACAAGGAAGUUACUAACGAGAAGUGCUGUAAUGUAAAUCAGCGAAGACCGUGUCCGAUUGGUCACUGCUGUAAACGUCACCAUGGAUACCACAAAAAUGAGCCAAUUGAAACCACUGUACUGUGGAACGAAGGCAAGCAUACGAAACUGGGAAGACGCUAAUUACAAUGACAAGACGUUCACUAUUCCCUUGGAAACGAAAAUCGACCAAUGAAAACUGCUGUAUUAGAACACAAAGGGAAAUAUGGCCAAACGAUGGAUAAUUCGGUUGGAAAGCAUAACGUCAUUGUGCCUUGAAAUAUUGUUGGAAUAACUUUACAAUAAAUGUGCAGGUGCGUGUGCAGGGAGUGAGGGGUAAGGGGUAAGUGGUGGGUUCAGUGUCGAAAACCCACUGCUACAAGAAAAUUAAUUUUUUUCAAAAUAUUUUCCGGGGGAGCAUGACCCGACACCUUUAAAACGUUUGCUCGCUAGUCCAAACCUACCCCCUUAUAUAAUUCCCUGUACACUCACCUGAUGUAUAUUGUCAACAGAAGAUCGAAAUAAAGUUUGAAUUGUUA
Molecule: long non-coding RNA, 1143 nt
Organism: Gigantopelta aegis
Lineage: Eukaryota; Metazoa; Mollusca; Gastropoda; Neomphalida; Peltospiridae
Exons: 2
Source: RefSeq, a predicted model, not a curated record